UUCCCAUAGGCGGUUCUCCUUUUCUUUUUGUUGUUAGUGUUUUUGGCACACGGCGCCGUUUAAUCAAGUGCACAAAAUACAGUAUUUUGGCGAGUAAGAAAACGCACCGUUUUUUGGGGCGACUUCGUCGAAAUUUGGCCGCGAUAAUGCAACUGCCGCGACCACGAGAGGCAAAGCUUUCGGUGCAAUGCUAGGUCCUUCAGAGAAAGUAAAACCCACGUGUGCUUGCAAACUAUGAAGAAGAGAGGACGCGAAGUAUCGUUUACAAUAACACUGGACAGCAAAGUAUUUCAUUGGAUCAAAUUCAAUGGACGAAUCCCUUCACCAAGAUCCGGUAUUGUUCAAUAGAUCAAGGACUACGACAACUCCCUAAGCCGAAACCUUCAAAAUUUGACGCUGAUGUAGAAGAAGGAAUUGAUUUACGAUUAACUGAACCAAAAAAAAAGGUGCAAGAGUUUGUAGUCAAUUAGAGAAAUUUGUUCUUAAUGGGAGGCACAGAAAGGCACUUGAGUUGUUUGAGAUCUUCGAGCAUUAUGGUGGGUUUGAUAUGGGCAGUAGCACCUAUGAUGCAUUAGUCAGUGCGUGUGUAGAAUUAAGAUCAAUCCCAGGAGCGAAAAGGAUGUUUAAUUACAUGAUGACUAGUGGUUUUGAACCUCAUCAGUAUAUGAAAAACAGAAUACUGCUUACGCGUGUUAAAUGUGGGAUGAUGAUCCAUGGACAUAAAUGGUUUGACAAAAUGCCUGACAGAAAUCUGGUUUUCCGGAGCACUAUCUUGAUUCAUUUCUGGGCUUGUGAACAUAGCGGACUAUAUGGAAGCCUUUAGGAUGUUUCUGAUUAUGUGGGAUGAGUUUUCUGACGCUGGGUCUCGCAUUUUUGCCACUAUGAUCUUGGCGUCUGCUGGAUUGGGAUUGAUUUCUGCUGGGAAACAGUUAUAUACUUGCACUUUGAAGAUGGGAGUAGGGGACGAUAUAUUUGUUUCUUGUGCUCUGAUUAAUAUGUAUAGUAAGCGUGGUAGAAUCGGUGCUCAUUGCAUCUUUAUUGAAAUGCCAGAGAAAUCUACAGUGGGGUGGAAUACUAUGGUCAAUGCUCCUUGCAGGUUAUGCACUUCAUCACUACAGUGAAGAAGCUUUGGAUUUGUGUGUACUAUGAUGUGUGAUUCUGGUGUUAGAAUGGACCAUCUCAGAUUUUCUAUAAUGGUGAGAAUAUGUGCAUUGUGCAA
This is a long non-coding RNA of Hevea brasiliensis (rubber tree), 1219 nucleotides long. RefSeq lists it as uncharacterized. NCBI's taxonomy places the organism in Eukaryota, Viridiplantae, Streptophyta, Magnoliopsida, Malpighiales, Euphorbiaceae. The record is from RefSeq and is a predicted model, not a curated record. The transcript is spliced from 2 exons.